GAUGAACGCUGGCGGCGUGCCUAAUACAUGCAAGUCGAGCGAAUGGAUUAAGAGCUUGCUCUUAUGAAGUUAGCGGCGGACGGGUGAGUAACACGUGGGUAACCUGCCCAUAAGACUAGGAUAACUCCGGGAAACCGGUGCUAAUACCGGAUAACAUUUUGAACCGCAUGGUUAGAAAUUGAAAGGCGGCUUCGGCUGUCACUUCUGGAUGGACCCGGGUCGCAUUAGCUAGUUGGUGAGGUAACGGCUCACCAAGGCAACGAUGCGUAGCCGAACUGAGAGGGUGAUCGGCCACACUGGGACUGAGACACGGCCCAGACUCCUACGGGAGGCAGCAGUAGGGAAUCUUCCGCAAUGGACGAAAGUCGGACGGAGCAACGCCGCGUGAGUGAUGAAGGCUUUCGGGUCGUAAAACUCUGUUGUUAGGGAAGAACAAGUGCUAGUUGAAUAAGCUGGCACCUUGACGGUACCUAACCAGAAAGCCACGGCUAACUACGUGCCAGCAGCCGCCGUAA
This 515-nucleotide ribosomal RNA is filed under the name uncultured bacterium. RNAcentral's name for it is "partial 16S ribosomal RNA". It matches the Rfam family "Bacterial small subunit ribosomal RNA", at positions 28 to 523 of the family's 1533-position model. The record is from RNAcentral.